RNAcentral lists this ribosomal RNA (376 nucleotides) under uncultured bacterium. RNAcentral's name for it is "bacterial SSU rRNA". It matches the Rfam family "Bacterial small subunit ribosomal RNA", at positions 524 to 898 of the family's 1533-position model. The record is from RNAcentral.
UACGGAGGGUGCAAGCGUUGUCCGGAAUCACUGGGCGUAAAGGGCGCGUAGGCGGCUCAUGAAGGCUGUGGUGAAAGUCCGGGGCUCAACCUCGGAUCGGCCGUGGCGACUCGUGGGCUGGAGCACUGUAGAGGCAGGUGGAAUUCCGGGUGUAGCGGUGGAAUGCGUAGAGAUCCGGAAGAACACCAGUGGCGAAGGCGGCCUGCUGGGCAGUGGCUGACGCUGAGGCGCGACAGCGUGGGGAGCAAACAGGAUUAGAUACCCUGGUAGUCCACGCCGUAAACGAUGGGCACUAGGUGCUUGGGGGAGCGACCCUCUGAGUGCCGGCGCUAACGCAUUAAGUGCCCCGCCUGGGGAGUACGGCCGCAAGGCUGAA